Molecule: ribosomal RNA, 427 nt
Filed under: uncultured Actinomycetes bacterium
Lineage: Bacteria; Bacillati; Actinomycetota; Actinomycetes
Description: uncultured actinobacterium partial 16S ribosomal RNA
Rfam family: Bacterial small subunit ribosomal RNA
Source: RNAcentral
UGGGGAAUCUUGCGCAAUGCGCGAAAGCGUGACGCAGCAACGCCGCGUGGGGGAAGACGGCCUUCGGGUUGUAAACCCCUUUCAGGAGGGACGAAGCCCGGGCGGUGAAUAGCCGACCCGGGUGACGGUACCUCCAGAAGAAGCCCCGGCUAACUACGUGCCAGCAGCCGCGGUAAUACGUAGGGGGCAAGCGUUGUCCGGAAUCAUUGGGCGUAAAGCGCGUGUAGGCGGUCCGGUAAGUCGGUUGUGAAAGUCCAGGGCUCAACCCUGGGAUGCCGAUCGAUACUGCCGGACUAGAGUCCGGAAGAGGCGAGUGGAAUUCCCGGUGUAGCGGUGAAAUGCGCAGAUAUCGGGAGGAACACCAAUGGCGAAGGCAGCUCGCUGGGACGGUACUGACGCUGAGACGCGAAAGCGUGGGGAGCAAACA